Molecule: ribosomal RNA, 500 nt
Filed under: uncultured bacterium
Lineage: Bacteria
Description: partial 16S ribosomal RNA
Rfam family: Bacterial small subunit ribosomal RNA
Source: RNAcentral
AUUGAACGCUGGCGGAAUGCUUUACACAUGCAAGUCGAACGGCAGCACGGACUUCGGUCUGGUGGCGAGUGGCGAACGGGUGAGUAAUGAAUCGGAACGUGCCCAGUCGUGGGGGAUAACGUAGUGAAAAUUACGCUAAUACCGCAUACGAUCUAUGGAUGAAAGCGGGGGAUCGCAAGACCUCGCGCGAUUGGAGCGGCCGAUAACAGAUUAGGUAGUUGGUGGGGUAAAGGCCCACCAAGCCAACGAUCUGUAGCUGGUCUGAGAGGACGACCAGCCACACUGGAACUGAGACACGGUCCAGACUCCUACGGGAGGCAGCAGUGGGGAAUUUUGGACAAUGGGCGGAAGCCUGAUCCAGCCAUUCCGCGUGCAGGAUGAAGGCCCUCGGGUUGUAAACUGCUUUUGUACAGAACGAAAAGGUUUCUACUAAUACUAGGAGCUCAUGACGGUACUGUAAGAAUAAGCACCGGCUAACUACGUGCCAGCCGCCGCGGUAA